UACGUAGGGUGCGAGCGUUGUCCGGAAUUAUUGGGCGUAAAGGGCUCGUAGGCGGUUUGUCGCGUCGGGAGUGAAAACUCAGGGCUUAACCCUGAGCCUGCUUCCGAUACGGGCAGACUAGAGGUAUGCAGGGGAGAACGGAAUUCCUGGUGUAGUGGUGAAAUGCGCAGAUAUCAGGAGGAACACCGGUGGCGAAGGCGGUUCUCUGGGCAUUACCUGACGCUGAGGAGCGAAAGCGUGGGGAGCGAACAGG
Molecule: ribosomal RNA, 253 nt
Filed under: uncultured bacterium
Lineage: Bacteria
Description: partial 16S ribosomal RNA
Rfam family: Bacterial small subunit ribosomal RNA
Source: RNAcentral